RNAcentral lists this ribosomal RNA (433 nucleotides) under uncultured bacterium. RNAcentral's name for it is "partial 16S ribosomal RNA". It matches the Rfam family "Bacterial small subunit ribosomal RNA", at positions 29 to 507 of the family's 1533-position model. The record is from RNAcentral.
AACGAACGCUGGCGGCAUGCCUAACACAUGCAAGUCGAACGAGACCUUCGGGUCUAGUUGCGCACGGGUGCGUAACGCGUGGGAACCUGCCCUUAGGUUCGGAAUAACUCCCCGAAAGGGGUGCUAAUACCGGAUAAUGUCUUCGGACCAAAGAUUUAUCGCCUUUGGAUGGGCCCGCGUUGGAUUAGCGAGUUGGUAGGGUAAAAGCCUGCCAAGGCGACGAUCCAUAGCUGGUCUGAGAGGAUGAUCCGCCACACUGGGAAUGAGACACGGCCCAGACUCCUACGGGACGGAGCAGUGGGGAAUAUUGGACAAGGGGCGAAAGCCUGACACAGCAAUGCCGCGUGAGUGAUGAAGGCCUUAGGGUUGUAAAGCCCUUUUACCCGGGAUGAGAAUGACGGUACCGGGAGAAUAAGCACCGGCUAACUCCGUG